RNAcentral lists this long non-coding RNA (349 nucleotides) under Homo sapiens (human). RNAcentral describes it as "HSALNT0194630". Lineage: Eukaryota; Metazoa; Chordata; Mammalia; Primates; Hominidae. The record is from RNAcentral.
GUUUCUCAUUUUCAGCCUUCCUUGAAGCAGCAUGACCCAUCUGGAUGUCCUCCUCAUCUCAGGAAUUUUCUAAUAAGCUGUCUAAAUCCAGAGAUCCGACCACAGAACAAUGAAUGCCAAAGAUGAGUUCUAAAGAUGCGAGUACUUUCUUUCUAAACGGACGCUGCUUUGUGUAUGGCUCUGCUCCUGGGGGCAGACGCGGCAGGCUAAGCCCUGCGGAGGAGGAGGUCUCACAGCUUUGCCCCAUUUAUCAUGAAGAUGAACGCUGGUAACACUGCUACCUACGAGCUGAGCUUGCACGCACAUUCCUGGUGUGUACAUGCAUGCGUGCACGCUCACGCAAUGUGCU